This 256-nucleotide unclassified non-coding RNA is filed under the name soil metagenome. Its description in RNAcentral is "partial contains small subunit ribosomal RNA, internal transcribed spacer 1, and 5.8S ribosomal RNA". The record is from RNAcentral.
UUUCCGUAGGUGAACCUGCGGAAGGAUCAUUAUCGUAUAAAAGAGGUGCCAAGGGCUGUCGCUGUCCCUCAAGGGUCGUGCACGCCCAAAGUGCUUUCAUACAAUCCAUCUCACCCCUUUGUGCAUCACCGCGUGGGUUCCUCCCCUUGCGGGGAAGGGCCUGCGUUUUAUCAUAAAACUUGAUACAGUGUAGAAUGUUUAUCUUUGCGGUCACACGCAAUCAAUACAACUUUCAACAACGGAUCUCUUGGCUCUC